RNAcentral lists this ribosomal RNA (276 nucleotides) under Triticum aestivum (bread wheat). RNAcentral's name for it is "partial small subunit ribosomal RNA". The record is from RNAcentral. Lineage: Eukaryota; Viridiplantae; Streptophyta; Magnoliopsida; Poales; Poaceae.
AUGGCAUCCUCCAAGCCUCUCGCCCCCAUCGUGCUCUUCCUCCUCGUCGCUCUCCUUAUGGUUGCCGACGCGCAGCCGGCACCCAAGAUAGACUGUCCAUCGGCGUGCCAGGCAUGCGCGAAGAACUGGAAGAACAAGAUGUGCAACAAGGAUUGCAACAUCUGCUGUGACAAGUGCAACUGUGUUCCCUCCGGCACCAGCCAGGCAACCCGUAACGAAUGCCCCUGCUACGCCAACUUAAAGAACUCCAAGAACGGCAAGCUCAAGUGCCCCUAG